Non-coding RNA from Vicugna pacos (alpaca), 2965 nucleotides. The record is from RefSeq and is a predicted model, not a curated record. NCBI's taxonomy places the organism in Eukaryota, Metazoa, Chordata, Mammalia, Artiodactyla, Camelidae.
UCUCUCAUACAAGGAAUUACUGUAUAACUGUUCAUUCAAUGACUGUUGAGCACCCAGAGUCAUUCCCUGCAUAUACGAAAUAUUUCAAGAAUACUAGCAGGGGUUGUCUGUAUAUGUACAGACAUUCUUAGAGAUGAUUUAAAUCCAAGCACUUUGAGUUCCUUGAGUAACCCUUGAGGAACUCUGGCCUACUGAGUACAUUUGCAGAAUGUUCUAAGCUGACCGGACUUCAGCUGUGCUUUAUCUGUUUUCCUGACCUCCUUAUCUUUCACCCCAACUUCCCCUGCUCCUACUUUUGGAAUGGACCCAGAAGAUAGCAAGUGGGACAGGACAGUGGGAAUCACAGGAGAGCACAGAAGCCAACCCCAGGACACAGCCGCAGAGGUGGCCUCCACCGCAGACGUCAUUGGCUUUGGUUGCCUUGAAAAUGUCGCAUGCAGUCUGGAGGGUCAGAAGAAUGAGGAAGGUGACGUGGCCACUGUAUUUCCCAACAGGGAGGUCUUGGUGGAAUUACAAGCAGCCAUUUCAUCAUAGAAUUGGAGAGUGAGAGUCUGGAUUUCAAGAGGGUUUUCUCGACAAAAUGCCUGCAGCACAGAUAUGAGUCUCCUCAUUUCACCCGUGAGAAAACUGAGCACAGAAAGCCUAAGCUUCCUCCAUGCUGACGUCCUUACCAUCCCCAACGCUCUGCUCAUCCCUGACUCCAGGCGUCCACACACCCUUCUUAAUCACCUUCGUCCAGCUGAAGUACAGCCGUGCUGUUCGGGUGAUUUCUGCUCUGUGAUGCCAAGAUGUUUCAGAACAAUGUUAUGAUGCCUGGUCACACCUACUACCACUGAGACAAGCCCAGAAGUUAAAUUAUGAAGCAAACGCAUUAACAGUGUGUAAAUGCAGUGUAAGCGCAACUUAACCACAGCAUGAAGUUAGCAGAAGGAAAAAUGUGCUUGGGAGCCUAGCAAAAGAAAGGAGAGGGCCACAAAAAAAAAAAAAGAAAAAAAAAGGAAAAGAAAAAAAAGAAAGAAAGAAAAAGAAAAAAAAAAAGUAAAGGUAUGUUUGUAUGGAGGGGACAACCAGGUUAGGAAUUAUGCAAAGAGCGGAGCUUUCUCUGUAAAUAGAGUAUUUUGCCUAUUGCUCUUACAGAGCCUCCUCUCUAAUUGCCAUUGCAAUUUCUAAGGCACCGAGGCACCCCUCAAGCAGUGUGCUGAAGGUGUGUUUGUGCUGCUAUGCCCUCUGGCUUGGCUGCCAGCCUAUUCCCUUAGAUCAGAGCCAGAAGGCAGACUGUUUUCGAAUACCGAUCACCUCACCCGGACCUAAUCCUUUGAGUUCUCUUUGGCAUCUAUUCCUUCUGCCAGCUUCCUCUUCUGUUCCUCUCUUUUCUUCUGAAGUUGACAACAAAGACAUCCUCAGGGCCCUCCUUGAUGUAAGACCACUCUUGAUGUUAUUACAGUGUGUUUUUUUUUUGUACCCUAAAGUUGUGCUACUUUUAUAUUCAGCUAGCACAAUAUUUGCACACCAGAAGAUAAAGAAAAUGUGAAUAUGUUAUACAGAGUGAUAGUUUCUUUUUAAUUUGUACCCUCUCAGUGUUUUUUUUUUUUUUUUUUUGAUGUAAACCCUUUCCUUUCUCUGUCACUCAUCUCCAUACCUGACCAAGAACCUGAAGGUCUCCCUUUAUAGAAGAUGUUACUUCUAUACCGUAAAUUGGCCUAACCUGCCACUUUUAAUUUUAAAAAUAUGGCUGUACGAGAUAUGGAUGAAUAUGGAAUUUCUAUGAAGCACAAAACUUUUGAACGGUUCCUGUCCUCUGUGAUAGUGAGUUUUUAAAGGGAAAUCUCCAAAGAGCUAAUUAGUAGACAAGUAGAGCUCAGCCUGAACAAAGCUGAAAAGAUAGCAGAUAACUAAAAGGACCUGGCCAUAGCUGACAAAAAUCAAAGCCCUGACAGAGAGCUGGCAGUAACCUUGGGCUGCUAACUGACAGGGACAAUAAAAAAAAAACAAAAAACCCUCUGAACCCGGCGGAGAGUGACAGCCCCACUACAGUCUCUCCCGAAGAGCACGAUGUCUCCACCGCGAGGAAGCGGGAGUCUUCCAGCAGGCGAAACGGAGGGCUUUUUGCCGCCCACCUCAACUCCAGGAGAUGCAAGCUGGCUCGGUUCCGACUGCCCCUUAUGGAGGAGUGAGACAGAGAGAGAGAUGGAACCCAGGAGCUUUGCAAAGUUACUCAAAAAGUUCCAGGCUGGCAGUAAACUUGAGAGUGGAGUCGUGGGAAGGGAGAAUGUGGAGCAGGCGAGAUAGAGAAGGAGCCGGGUGGUGGUUCGUGGUCCAGGGGGGAUGCGCAGACCAAGAGCUGAGGGAAAGCGCUGGUUGGAGAAAGCCAACACAGGCAAGGACUUAAUGAGCCCCACGAACCAACAAAAUAUGGUUGGAAAUAAAAGGAAUGAUGCUUGAAAGAAACCUGAGGCAUGCCAGGAAAACAAGAAAGUGGGAAUCAAGAAAAAGAGUAACCGCAGGGGUGAGAGUUGUUCCUUACGAGAAAACAUCAUUUGUAAGGAAGGUGUUGGAGCAGAGAGCUGCAUUUUCAAACUCGUGGAAGGGAGACAAAACACAAAAAUAAUGAUCUUUUAAAACCCCUCUUUAACUCACUAAGAAGAGAGAGUGCUCUGAUAGGUUUAUAUUAGGUUUGGGCGCUAAUGAGCCCAGUCUAAAAUUCCGAGGGUACCAAGAGAAAGGAUUCUUCCUUCAACUGAGUGAUCUUCAGAUUUCUCUGUGUGUUUAUAAGAUUCCAUUAUACAAAUGAUACUAUUUGGGAAAGAAGCCAAGCGCUAACAAAGUGCUCCAACUAUGAGGAGGGAGAAAAUUUGAAAGCAAGCACUUAAAAAGCGUUCGGCUUUGAAACCCAAAUGCUAAUAACAUCCAUUAGGUAGUUUUCAUGAUCCCUAAAUAAGGUCUUUGUUGCAGACAAGUUCUUCUG